Molecule: ribosomal RNA, 439 nt
Filed under: uncultured bacterium
Lineage: Bacteria
Description: partial 16S ribosomal RNA
Rfam family: Bacterial small subunit ribosomal RNA
Source: RNAcentral
CCUACGGGAGGCAGCAGUGGGGAAUAUUGCACAAUGGGCGAAAGCCUGAUGCAGCAACGCCGCGUGAGCGAUGAAGGCCUUCGGGUCGUAAAGCUCUGUCCUCAAGGAAGAUAAUGACGGUACUUGAGGAGGAAGCCCCGGCUAACUACGUGCCAGCAGCCGCGGUAAUACGUAGGGGGCUAGCGUUAUCCGGAAUUACUGGGCGUAAAGGGGGCGUAGGUGGUUUCUUAAGUCAGAGGUGAAAGGCUACGGCUCAACCGUAGUAAGCCUUUGAAACUGGGGAACUUGAGUGCAGGAGAGGAGGGUGGAAUUCCUGGUGUAGCGGUGAAAUGCGUAGAUAUUAGGAGGAACACCAGUUGCGAAGGCGGCUCUCUGAACUGUAACUGACACUGAGGCACGAAAGCGUGGGGAGCAAACAGGAUUAGAUACCCCUGUAGUC